GGCUGGAUGGUGCAAUGGUAGCACGCUUGGAUUUUGCUACCACACGCGGAUAGAGCUCCUCCAAGAGCUCCCCGUUCGAUUCGGGGUUCGGCCU
Molecule: non-coding RNA, 94 nt
Organism: Mycena metata
Lineage: Eukaryota; Fungi; Basidiomycota; Agaricomycetes; Agaricales; Mycenaceae
Source: the annotation of a GenBank genome assembly